This 253-nucleotide ribosomal RNA is filed under the name uncultured bacterium. Its description in RNAcentral is "partial 16S ribosomal RNA". It matches the Rfam family "Bacterial small subunit ribosomal RNA", at positions 524 to 776 of the family's 1533-position model. The record is from RNAcentral.
UACAGAGGGGGCAAGCGUUGUUCGGAAUUACUGGGCGUAAAGGGCGCGUAGGCGGCCUUCUAAGUCGAACGUGAAAUCCCUGGGCUCAACCCAGGAACUGCGUCCGAUACUGGAAGGCUUGAAUCCGGGAGAGGGAUGCGGAAUUCCAGGUGUAGCGGUGAAAUGCGUAGAGAUGUGGAGGAACACCAAUGGCGAAGGCAGCCUUCUGGGCCAACACUGACGCUCAUGCACGAAAGCGUGGGGAGCAAACAGG